Molecule: unclassified non-coding RNA, 213 nt
Filed under: Hevea brasiliensis (rubber tree)
Lineage: Eukaryota; Viridiplantae; Streptophyta; Magnoliopsida; Malpighiales; Euphorbiaceae
Source: RNAcentral
GCUAAACACGCGGGAAAGAAUAAAUUUUCUUGAAUGGAAUGCCUAGCUUCCAUAUCUUGUUACAAAACAACGGCUUUCUUGAUUUUAACAGGCUCAUUGACCAAAUUUUGAUCCUUUGAUCGAGGGCUAUGACUCGAUUUCGAGUGGGUUAUAUCAAUUAAGUUUAAUAACCCAGAGGAAAGUGACUGAUGAAGAAUUAGAAGAUGCCUAAUU